This 413-nucleotide ribosomal RNA is filed under the name uncultured Methylophaga sp. RNAcentral's name for it is "bacterial SSU rRNA". It matches the Rfam family "Bacterial small subunit ribosomal RNA", at positions 60 to 473 of the family's 1533-position model. The record is from RNAcentral. Lineage: Bacteria; Pseudomonadati; Pseudomonadota; Gammaproteobacteria; Thiotrichales; Piscirickettsiaceae.
AGUCGAACGAUGAAGUCUAGCUUGCUAGUCGGAUUAGUGGCGGACGGGUGAGUAAUGUAUAGGGAUCUGCCUAGUAGUGGGGGACAACAGCCGGAAACGGCUGCUAAUACCGCAUACGCUCUACGGAGGAAAGUGGGGGACCUUCGGGCCUCACGCUAUCAGAUGAACCUAUAUCAGAUUAGCUAGUUGGUGGGGUAAAGGCCUACCAAGGCGACGAUCUGUAGCUGGUCUGAGAGGAUGAUCAGCCACACUGGGACUGAGACACGGCCCAGACUCCUACGGGAGGCAGCAGUGGGGAAUAUUGGACAAUGGGCGCAAGCCUGAUCCAGCAAUGCCGCGUGUGUGAAGAAGGCCUUAGGGUUGUAAAGCACUUUCAUUGAGGAGGAAAAGCUGUGCGUUAAUAGCGUAUAGCC